Molecule: ribosomal RNA, 829 nt
Filed under: uncultured bacterium
Lineage: Bacteria
Description: bacterial SSU rRNA
Rfam family: Bacterial small subunit ribosomal RNA
Source: RNAcentral
CAUGCAGUCGAACGGUAGCACAGAGAGCUUGCUCUUGGGUGACGAGUGGCGGACGGGCGAUUAAUGUCUGGGAAACUGCCCGAUGGAGGGGGAUAACUACUGGAAACGGUAGCUAAUACCGCAUAAUGUCGCAAGACCAAAGAGGGGGACCUUCGGGCCUCACACCAUCAGAUGUGCCCAGAUGGGAUUAGCACUAGUAGGUGGGGUAAUGGCUCACCUAGGCGACGAUCCCUAGCUGGUCUGAGAGGAUGACCAGCCACACUGGAACUGAGACACGGUCCAGACUCCUACGGGAGGCAGCAGUGGGGAAUAUUGCACAAUGGGCGCAAGCCUGAUGCAGCCAUGCCGCGUGUAUGAAGAAGGCCUUCGGGUUGUAAAGUACUUUCAGCGAGGAGGAAGGUGUUGAGGUUAAUAACCUCAGCAAUUGACGUUACUCGCAGAAGAAGCACCGGCUAACUCCGUGCCAGCAGCCGCGGUAAUACGGAGGCAGUGCAAGCGUUAAUCGGAAUUACUGGGCGUAAAGCGCACGCAGGCGGUUUGUUAAGUCAGAUGUGAAAUCCCCGGGCUCAACCUGGGAACUGCAUUUGAAACUGGCAAGCUUGAGUCUUGUAGAGGGGGGUAGAAUUCCAGGUGUAGCGGUGAAAUGCGUAGAGAUCUGGAGGAAUACCGGUGGCGAAGGCGGCCCCCUGGACAAAGACUGACGCUCAGGUGCGAAAGCGUGGGGAGCAAACAGGAUUAGAUACCCUGGUAGUCCACGCCGUAAACGAUGUCGACUUGGAGGUUGUUCCCUUGAGGAGUGGCUUACGGAAGCUAACGCGGUUAGUCGACC